CCUGGAGGGGGAGGCCUGGGUGAGGCAGCCGGACGGCUCCGGCGGAAUUCGGAGCGUUCUGCUGGACGAAACUCUUGGAUGGAAGGAUCUCUUCUCGGAAACGAUUCUUCGGGCGCGCGUGGCGAAUGGAUUAAGAGACG
This 140-nucleotide unclassified non-coding RNA is filed under the name fungal sp. Its description in RNAcentral is "partial internal transcribed spacer region". The record is from RNAcentral. Lineage: Eukaryota; Fungi.